Molecule: ribosomal RNA, 700 nt
Filed under: Rhizoctonia solani
Lineage: Eukaryota; Fungi; Basidiomycota; Agaricomycetes; Cantharellales; Ceratobasidiaceae
Description: partial large subunit ribosomal RNA
Rfam family: Eukaryotic large subunit ribosomal RNA
Source: RNAcentral
AGGCCAGCAUCAGUUUGGGCGGUUGGAUAAAGGUCUCUGUCAUGUACCUCUCUUCGGGGAGAACUUAUAGGGGAGACGACAUGCAACCAGCCUGGACUGAGGUCCGCGCAUCUGCUAGGAUGCUGGCGUAAUGGCUGUAAGCGGCCCGUCUUGAAACACGGACCAAGGAGUCUAACAUCUAUGCGAGUGUUUGGGUGUCAAGCCCGAGCGCGUAAUGAAAGUGAACGGAGGUGGGAACCUUUCGGGGUGCACCAUCGACCGAUCCUGAUGUCUUCGGAUGGAUUUGAGUAAGAGCAUAGCUGUUGGGACCCGAAAGAUGGUGAACUAUGCUUGAAUAGGGUGAAGCCAGAGGAAACUCUGGUGGAGGCUCGCAGCGGUUCUGACGUGCAAAUCGAUCGUCAAAUUUGGGCAUAGGGGCGAAAGACUAAUCGAACUAUCUAGUAGCUGGUUCCUGCCGAAGUUUCCCUCAGGAUAGCAGUAACGUUUUCAGUUUUAUGAGGUAAAGCGAAUGAUUAGAGGCCUGGGGGUUGAAACAACCUUCACCUAUUCUCAAACUUUAAAUAUGUAAGAAGUCCUUGUUACUUGAUUGAACGUGGACAGUUGAAUGUAUCGUUACUAGUGGGCCAUUUUUGGUAAGCAGAACUGGCGAUGCGGGAUGAACCGAACGCGGGGUUAAGGUGCCAGAAUAUACGCUCAUCAG